Molecule: RNA transcript, 1429 nt
Organism: Macadamia integrifolia
Lineage: Eukaryota; Viridiplantae; Streptophyta; Magnoliopsida; Proteales; Proteaceae
Gene name: serine/arginine-rich-splicing factor SR34-like
Exons: 13
Source: RefSeq, a predicted model, not a curated record
CAAUGGCAUCAAAGGUGUGGAGACAAAAAUCGAACCAAGCAUGUGCACCCAUUAGUCUGUAGCCCUAUUUUAUCAUCCUCAAACAGAAACCCAAACCCUCGAAGCUUUCGUCAUCCAUUUUCUCGCUCACCUGCUCUGCUAACUGCUGCUCUUGUUCCUAGCAAAAAUGAGCGGCCGUUCAAGUCGAACCCUUUACGUUGGUAAUCUCCCUGGGGAUAUUCGCGAGCGGGAAGUGGAAGAUUUGUUCUAUAAGUAUGGGCCAAUUGUUGACAUUGAUUUGAAGAUACCACCAAGGCCUCCAGGGUAUGCUUUUAUUGAGUUUGAAGAAGCCCGUGAUGCUGAAGAUGCUAUUCGUGGUCGCGAUGGAUAUAACUUUGAUGGGAAUCGUUUACGUGUAGAACUGGCACAUGGUGGGCGAGGACACUCAUCAUCAAUUGAUCGCCAUAGUAAUCACAGUGCUGGGGGUGGCCGUGGUGGAGUCUCUAGGCGCUCAGAAUAUCGUGUGAUGGUCACUGGAUUACCCUCUUCCGCCUCAUGGCAGGAUCUGAAGGAUCAUAUGCGCCGAGCUGGAGACGUUUGCUUCUCACAGGUGUUCCGUGAUGCUAGUAGUGGCACCACUGGAGUCGUGGAUUAUACCAACCACGAUGACAUGAAAUAUGCAAUCAGGAAACUUGAUGACUCUGAGUUUCGAAAUGCUUUUUCACGGUCAUAUAUACGGGUGAAAGCAUACGACUCAAGACGGAGCCUUUCUAGGAGCCGGAGUCGUAGUCGUUCUUACUCGAAAAGUCCUAGCCGCAGUCGCAGCAAGAGUCGAAGCCGGAGCCAAAGCAAGUCUCCUCCAAAGGCCAAAUCUUCACGCCGUUCUCCAUCUAAAUCCCGUUCGAGAUCUGUUUCUUCCCGUUCUCGUUCGGGGUCAAGGCCACGCUCUGCAUCAAGAUAUGGCUUUAUGCGGCGAUUUGGGGAUGCAUAUUAGGAAACAUGAUGGGAUAUGAUGCAAAUGCCUGCAACUCAUUUGGUUGUGGAGUGUUUGCACAUGGGAGCUAGAGAGGGACAAAGAGGAUGGGGGUUGAUACUAAAGCUGGAUUACUGUCUCUAAGUGCUAUUGGGAUGCCGCACCGAUCGGUGGUAGAAACAAAUUCAAAAUUCACUUUCCUCGUCCAACAUCACGACGCCUAUAGGAGUUGCGCCCAGGAUUUAUGGAUUUUGGUGGUACUCAAGGGAAAAAAGUUCUUCCCUUAUCCUCUAAUAUCUUAAUAGCUUGAAGUAACUAUUGUUUUGCUUUUAUUUAUUUCUCAAUUUUUUUUUUAAUCUGAUCAUCUAGGUUUAUAGUGACCUGCUGGGUGAGGUUCCUUUUGUAUUUUUGGCUGGGAAUUGAAUCUCUAAUGCUAUCUGUUGAGUUCUGCUAAAAGUUUUAUUGGUUGUUUUGCCA